Molecule: long non-coding RNA, 167 nt
Organism: Cydia fagiglandana
Lineage: Eukaryota; Metazoa; Arthropoda; Insecta; Lepidoptera; Tortricidae
Exons: 2
Source: RefSeq, a predicted model, not a curated record
CGGCAGUUGAUCAGAACUUGAGUAUUGUUCUUCACGGACUGUGUUAGCACGGACAGAGGCCCUGUGCUGAAUUCUUCUUCCUCAAUCUUAGCUAACUCUUCCAAUGUCAUCUCCGAGCGUGGCUUGGCCUUAGCAGCAAUUUUGAUAGUGUGUUAUCAAAAUCGCUG